This 6228-nucleotide long non-coding RNA is filed under the name Androctonus crassicauda. The record is from RNAcentral. Lineage: Eukaryota; Metazoa; Arthropoda; Arachnida; Scorpiones; Buthidae.
AAUCAGGCGUAAAGUAUUAAAAAUACAAAAUUUUGAAGAUUUUGCUUUAAAAGCUUGUGAGAAGUCGAGACUUCGCUUUGCUUUAUUUUUUUUUAAUAAAACGUAAAGACGAAAAUGUUGACACGCAUAAAUAUGUUGAGGCAAAUUGUACGAAAUUAGAUAGAGCAGUUUAAGUUAUUAACGGAUACUCUUGAUCUCUCAGCCAAAAUUUCGCCGUCUCCUGGGUGGAAUCAGCUGUAAUGUCACUAAAUUGUUCCUGAGUUAGUCAUGGCAAUAUUGUGCUUUAAAUUGGUGGCGAACGGAGUGUUAUCCGUCUCCUUAUAAAUCUAGAAUUAGUUUUCAAGUUUUCAAAUUAUAUAUUUGCUACGGCUCCCAUUAAAAGAUCUAAAAUCUCCUGGCAGCCAGUUUGGGAACUGCGGAUACUUGUAUGACUAGUAUCGGGAAAAAAAGUCUAGAAGACCUUUUUUUUUCGAUACUACUCAUGCAAGUGAUUGCUGCAUAGCUUGUUCUCUUUGCAAGGUGUGUCUAUCGAGAGAAGGAAUGCACAGUAUCAAGGGCAGGCUCCAUGAGGAAGCAAAAGAAGAAGAAGUGUAUAAUUUAGAUAUUGUUCUAAAUAAAGGAAACAAUUAAUAAAUAUACACCUUACAUUUCCUUGUUUUUAUUUAUAUACUUUGUUAUAAGGGCAGGAAAUUCAGUAAAUUUUUCGCAUUGGCAUCAGGAAGACAAGAACUGUAGUAAUGCUAUGAUUACUAUGACCUGUAGCAGGAGUUACGUUUAUAUUUCGACGAUGUUGAAAUCGAUUUUAUGUGGAAUCGGUGUUUAAAGAAUGUUUUAGAAUGGGAAUAGAAAUCGAAAAGUUCCAAAUUUGUAGAUUGAGAAGGACGACGGCCACUUUGAAGCGAGUCCGGACACGCGUACAGAUCGGUAAAAAAAAAAAAAAAGUAGGAAAACUUUAAAGAGGUGAAACGGUUAAGCCAAGAGAAAGUAGAUCUCCAAUCCCCUGAGACGGCAGCAACAAUAAGAAAUGUGGAGGAGAAGGCGAUUGGUCAGAGUCCACUUUUAACUUACUUAGAGUCGAGCGGCGAGAGGAAACUGAUAAUGGAUUUUUUCUGCCCCGGCACCAUUGACUAAUGGUCCCAGGUGCUAAGUCUCUCACACUAGGACAACACACUCUUGUUGCUUGGUCCAUCCCGCCGGAUGUAAUCUUAUCCUCUCGACUGCGUUACGUGUUGGUGGUUACCUGUAGACUACUUCCUUCUUCCCAAUUACGGAAGUAGAAACCAAAAGUAGUGAUGGAAGUAUUGUCGGUCUGUUGAGUCCAACCAAAACAGAUGGAACAAACAUCCAAUUUAACUAGUUUACAGCUCUGUGUUAGAUUUCUAAAGAUCUGAUUGCCGGCUCUAUCGGCAUAUUUUAAAAAUGAUGAUUACCGUGUACAUAAAUGGUAAACAGUUCGGGCAAAUUGACAUUUUUUUAAAACGGUCCGUUUCAAAUUCGAUAAUUAGAAAAGAAUGGCAGAUUGGAUAGUCGGAAUUAGACUAGUGAUGUAGGCCUCCUAAUCAUUAUUCCUCUUUUAUUACGCACCGUUCUUCAACCGAGUGUUAUUUCGUGACUGGAGAUUUAAUCGAUAGCGAAAAGCUGACGUGACAAACAGCCUUACGUCUCCUAAUUUGUUCGUACGCAGUUAACGAGACCCCGUCGAAUUCCUUGUCGUUGUUAAAAUCUCUCUGAGGUUGGACCUAAAUGUUUUGUGCUAAUAGGUUAGCCUGUGAAAGGAAUUGCAGUCGUACAUAAAUAUACGAUUUUUAUCAAUCGGGCAUGGGAAUCUAUGGUGCGACGAUUUACUUGGCAUAGAAUGAUGCUUCGUUAAUUGCGUGGCUACCGUUGACCACCGCUUAAUUACUCAAGUAAAUGCCAAAUCUCUAAAUUUAAAUUGUUCCAGUUUCUGUAGUUUGUUUAAUUUGUGGGUAGAAAACGGAUUGUCCACACGCGAAUCUGUAUAAGUACUUUAUCGUGUUAGUAAAUAUCGUGCGGAUGAUUAACAUGCACCGCCAUAUCGGGUUAAACGUAGAAUGGUAAACUGGCAGUUAUACAAAGUAAAUUUUGCUAUGUGGUGUCGUUACCCGACACACGUAGGGCCAGUGGGAGCAUGCUCGUCUUUAUUUGCUCCGUGGUCUGUAUUAAAGACGGGGGUGGCAUUUUUAGGUGCGUGUAAUUACCACCGGCGGCGCUGGCGUCGCUUCUACCACGCCGCUCUCUUCUCUACUCUUUCAGGUAGCGUCAGUCCGUCUUUCAGUCUGUGUAAAGUUGGAUCGGUGCGUGUGUGUUUCGGUUCCGGGAGCGUGGUCACUAAUGGGGCUGACUCGUCUGCCUCCGUGACAGACCCAACUGGCCUCCGACCCGCCCCCGCUCCCGAACAUGGCAACAAAUGGGUUUGAUUUACGCCGUUACGGAGUGGAAAACUUGCAGAAUCUGCUGAAGACUCACGGGUCUCAGUGCCUUCACCAUUUCUUACAGGUGAGUUAGAUAUUCGACCACCCCGUUAGACAGUAGAGAGAAGAAUAAUCCCUCGAUAUUUUACUGGCCACCAGAAAAACGUAACUCUUUAAAAAAAAAGGAAACUCGCGUGCUAAACUUUAUAGUUUUGUUGAUACAAUAUUAUUAUGCUCACCCUCGAUUAAUUAUGAUCAAACAGAACGUAUAAAAUCAGAUUAGUCGCGAUUCAUAGCCCGCAAUAUAUACGGAUAGAGGUAUUUUUUAUCUUUCUCGCCUAUCGAAACAGAAACUACUUGUUAAGUCAGAAUUUGUUUUUCCUCGUCGCGCAAGCCCGGCACGCCAUCCCCGGAUUUUUCUUUUUGGCGCCAUUGUUCGUCCAGAUCACGUUUCUAUCCCUUAUCUAUCGAAUGCCCGGUAGAUUUGAUUUGGGACACGUGAUUGGCAGCGGGCCACAAUGCUGAUCAAAGCCAAGUUGAUUACCGGCUACACUUUUCCAAUAUCGAAGUUAGACGCCUCAUUUUACCCCGGCUACCCCACAUCGAUUUUUUUUUUCCUUCACCCGUUAUCACGUUAUGUAGUUGGGAUUGUCGGACAUUGUUCUUCUGUUGACACUUCCCCCUCGGAAUUGAUCCGUGGACCCGAGUUUCUCCGCUAGCGGGUAGAGAUACCCGUUUUCACUAAUUCCCUCUGUCUGUCAGCCAAAGAUAAGGCAUCCUGUGCCAUUAGUCAGCGUCGGAUCCAUUCUUCGCUUUACUACGACUCUCUUGCCAUUCUUACAAAUGCUCGCUUCUUCCAUUGCUUAAUACGGAUCGACACACACACGCACACGCGGUCCGAUUUUUGGUUCUUCCCUUUUAGAAGUUGCAGUUUGUAGUUAGCGGAUGACUAAGCUGUUGCCGGUGUAAAUUUCUGUCGAAUUUCGGGAUGGAGAGAGGAAGAAGCGAGAUUGGUAUUCCUCCUUUUUCCGUCGUCUGAGAAAAUUUUAAAUAUUCAGCAGCUCCGGUUUGUGACUCGGAGGCUGGAUAACCUAACAGUUCGCUUGCCGUCGUCCGCUUCUAAUACAGAUGUUUCUUCCGGCAUACAACCCGACUGUUGUUACCAUGACAACUGUUAGGAGUAACCGGCGAAGGAAAGGACCCCCCUUCGGGUGGCGGACGUCUUUUAUAAGGUGGGAUGCGCGGGUAGCGAGGCAACGGUUUGGGUCGAUGCCAUUCUUAAUUUAAUCACGGUAAGGGUUAAUGUGGAACUGUUAUGUCGGCCAUCCGACUAUCCAGUCCGGUUUAUUAUAUUCGACAGUCGGAAGCCUCUCUCUCUUCCGGCCCAGUAAUUAGGUCUGCCCGUGUCUUUUAACCGAUAACUUAAUCCGGAAUUUAGUGCGCCCCGUUCGUUUAACGCUCUAAUCCGCGCAACCAGUGCUCCGUCCAAUACUAGCAUAUUGCGUGAUAACGAGUUAAUUGGAAAAGGUUUUAGCGCUUAUCCGACGGAAUUAGAAGACGGUAGGUGAAGGAUAAUAACUUUAAUUUUGGGGGGCAUAUGCGUGGACGUCUUUCGGGGUUUCAGUGGCUAAUAACUCUCCCUGUUAUCCGGCCGGUCGUUUCCGUUAAUUAAGCCAUUUAGAUAGAUGCGGAUGCAACUCCGUCCUUCCCUUCUGGACCGCUUUUAUCGGACGUAAACGAGCGUCUAUUUUUAGACGCAGCGAAAAUUUUCUGCGGAUUUUUAAAAAAUUGUCUAGAAAUAACGCAAGAGGAAGAUCAUUACUUAGAUUUUUCCAGCGCAUCCCUACCGGUAAUUUAAAAGUAAAUAUUAAAAAUCCAGCCGACGGAACAUCUUUAAAAUCCAAGGAUCGAUCUCGACACAAUGAGAGAGUGCAGAGAGAGAAGCAUGCACCCCAAAAAUGGAUAUUCCGCCGGCAUCUGGAAUUUCUAUAAAUAGAGUUUAUUAGUUGGAAAUUUUAAAAUUGAGUUAAAUUUAAUUCCAAACAAGUAAGUGGGGUGUAUUAACCGGCGAAACGUCGUUAGGCGCGCACCAGCUGUUUCUCCUCCGGCACUCAAUCGUGUGCUCUUCCUCGUUUACCGUCGUCUCUGCUGGACCCGUGCCUGGCAGCUGUCGAAGUCAUCGACCGUCGGACACGUUGCAACGGCUCUUACCAAAAAUCUGGACCCUUUAUCCGUGCCCAAUAAUCGGAGUAAUUACGAUACCGGCCCAUAAUUAGUUUAGUUUCUACGCUGCUAUUUCGACUACCUCCUCGGCCUCGUCAUGACGAUGGUGUUAACGAUGCCAGCCAAUUAAUGAAGUCACCACCGGGUGCCUCAGCUCUCACUGGUUAAACCAUCAGAUCGGCGAUAAAAACUAGCGGGUAGUUAUCACCAUCGACUAACUAUAGAUAAGCCCCUUUUCUUCCUUAAUCCUGUCUGAGCUUUGCUUCGUGCUCGAAAUUAAUGGCCAUUCUAGAUGAUCAAGUUCUUUAACCGAUGAAAUUUACUCGUGAUCUUUGCAAGCCAUGGUUUUAAUUAAUUCUCUUUGUUUGCCAAAAAUAGUGGUAAUUUCUUCUGACUGCUAAGAGAGCCCGUUUAACGUCAGUGGUAUCGUGUUUUUGCAUGGGUUUUCUAGACGUAUCUGGGCAUUUUUUUAUCUAUAUCGAUACAGUUAAAGGUGGUUCCUUCGGCCGUAUUCAUCGAAGGAAGAGAAGGCGGUGGUCCGAGUGUCGUAUAUUAUCUAGAUAAUAGGAGCUGUUUACGCAGUCCGCAUGCUUCCGCCUCAUCGAUUGGACGCGGAAUAUAUCGGAGUCUUUUCCACCCCUCGGAAGAAUGAGAAUUUCCGGGCGGCGGAUGUGACGUGGAAAAUCGACCGGAAGUGGCCGGGAAAAACUAUCCGAGCUUAUAAAAGUAAUCUAGAACGGUGGAAGGAUCGUCGUUGCUCUCUUUGUCUUAUCCUCUAGAGGCGAGGUUCGAUCGAGAGGUACGGCACGUCGCGUCUCCCAACAGCGCGGAUAGCCCACUCGGCACUGGCAAACGUUGUGAAUAAAAGAACAUGUCUCCGUCUUCCACUUAUUCCAUCCGACUUCUUUAACUUCGUUCCUGUCGGAAAAUUAGCCGUAAAAACCCAUUUAUUCACCGGGGGGAUUUCCCUGCCUUAAUACCCAUUACGGAGAGAAAUGCGUUUACGACCGAUUGUCGUUAUGGAGGCGCGGAGAGGCUGGCAACCGUAUGAUUUGGACAGAUUGGCAAAUGUAUUUCGCCUUCGGUUGGAUUAUCUUACUAUUCUCCAGAAAUGCCGGCUUGUAGUUGUUAGAGGUCGAAACCAGUUAACGCUCUUUUUGUAUAUAACAAGUUCUGCAUGCGACCAUAUCACUUAUUGAUCAGAGCCGUUUAUCUGUUUCUUGUUAAAUUUUUUUCGGAAUUUGAGACGAGUAUUUUACAUAUUCUAGAAAUUCUCUAUACUGGUAAAAGUUUUGUAUAUAUGUCUAUAUUAAUUUGUGGAAUUAUUAUAUUAUUUUAGUGCCGAUAUUAAGGUUCUGCAUUUUAUCGCUAUAUUUCGACUGAUUUAUAUUACCAUUGCCAUGGAGAUACGGACCAGCAUAAGACCGACAGCAUUUUCUAAUGCACUGACAAUGAGAUAUUCAUAUCGUACGCGCUAACCAUCAUUAUUUUCGACGACCUUUGACAAUUAAUGACUGUUCUUGUUCUGCACUUUACUGGUCGUGAAUAAUUGAAUUUUUGCUUUGUAUUUGAU